This 66-nucleotide transfer RNA is filed under the name Tetragenococcus halophilus subsp. halophilus. RNAcentral describes it as "tRNA-Arg". It matches the Rfam family "tRNA", at positions 5 to 66 of the family's 71-position model. Rfam says of the family: Transfer RNA (tRNA) molecules are approximately 80 nucleotides in length. Their secondary structure includes four short double-helical elements and three loops (D, anti-codon, and T loops). Further hydrogen bonds mediate the characteristic L-shaped molecular structure. tRNAs have two regions of fundamental functional importance: the anti-codon, which is responsible for specific mRNA codon recognition, and the 3' end, to which the tRNAs corresponding amino acid is attached (by aminoacyl-tRNA synthetases). tRNAs cope with the degeneracy of the genetic code in two manners: having more than one tRNA (with a specific anti-codon) for a particular amino acid; and 'wobble' base-pairing, i.e. permitting non-standard base-pairing at the 3rd anti-codon position. Lineage: Bacteria; Bacillati; Bacillota; Bacilli; Lactobacillales; Enterococcaceae. The record is from RNAcentral.
CCAUAGCUCAACUGGAUAGAGUGUCUGACUACGGAUCAGAAGGUUGAGGGUUCAAAUCCUUCUGGG